Molecule: ribosomal RNA, 501 nt
Filed under: uncultured bacterium
Lineage: Bacteria
Description: partial 16S ribosomal RNA
Rfam family: Bacterial small subunit ribosomal RNA
Source: RNAcentral
AUUGAACGCUGGCGGCAGGCUUAACACAUGCAAGUCGAGCGGGGAAGAGUAGCUUGCUACUGGACCUAGCGGCGGACGGGUGAGUAAUGCUUAGGAAUCUGCCUAUUAGUGGGAGACAACAUCUCGAAAGGGAUGCUAAUACCGCAUACGUCCUACGGGAGAAAGCAGGGGACCUUCGGGCCUUGCGCUAAUAGAUGAGCCUAAGUCGGAUUAGCUAGUUGGUGGGGUAAAGGCCUACCAAGGCGACGAUCUGUAGCGGGUCUGAGAGGAUGAUCCGCGACACUGGGACUGAGACACGGCCCAGACUCCUACGGGAGGCAGCAGUGGGGAAUAUUGGACAAUGGGGGGAACCCUGAUCCAGCCAUGCCGCGUGUGUGAAGAAGGCCUUUUGGUGGUAAAGCACUUUAAGCGAGGAGGAGGCUACCGAGAUUAAUACUCUUGGAUAGUGGACGUUACUCGCAGAAUAAGCACCGGCUAACUCUGUGCCAGCCGCCGCAGUAA